GCCCGACGUGCGGGGCGGGGCUGCUCGCCCGGCCCGGGAGUUGGGGGAGGCAGGAAAAUGAGCAGCAAGAAGUGGGGGCCCAAAGCUGCCUCGGGGAAGCGGCAGACACCCCUCCCUGGAGCCAAGCCGGGAGCCCCGAGAGCCACUGCUGCCCCAGCGGCGUCUGAGGAAGCAGCCUUUCUGGAAUGAGGAUGACGGGCUGAGCCGCACG
This is a long non-coding RNA of Hyaena hyaena (striped hyena), 211 nucleotides long. RefSeq lists it as uncharacterized. The record is from RefSeq and is a predicted model, not a curated record. The transcript is spliced from 3 exons. NCBI's taxonomy places the organism in Eukaryota, Metazoa, Chordata, Mammalia, Carnivora, Hyaenidae.